UUAUAAAAAAAGAGUUAAUUAAUAAAAAAUUAAAUGAAAUCAUUAAAUUUAAAUAAUUUGGCGGUAUUUUAAAUAGUUAGAGGAAUUUGUUGAGUAAAUGAUAGUCCACGAAUGGAAUGUCCUAUUAGAAUUUUUAUGUAUUGUUGUAAAAAAAUUAUUUUUUAAGAAUUAUAAUUGUAAGAUUAGAUUUAAUUUGAAUUCAAAUCAAAAUGUAGGAUUAAUAGGUUUAGAUGAAUUACAUUUUAAUUUAAUAAUAGAUUUAUUUUUUUGAGUAAAAUAAUGAAAAAGGAUUUAAAAGUAAAUUUAAAUAAAUAUUUAUGUUGAAAUAAUAAUUAAAAUAUG
RNAcentral lists this ribosomal RNA (342 nucleotides) under Pheidole obscurithorax. RNAcentral describes it as "partial 12S ribosomal RNA". The record is from RNAcentral. Lineage: Eukaryota; Metazoa; Arthropoda; Insecta; Hymenoptera; Formicidae.